Molecule: ribosomal RNA, 253 nt
Filed under: uncultured bacterium
Lineage: Bacteria
Description: partial 16S ribosomal RNA
Rfam family: Bacterial small subunit ribosomal RNA
Source: RNAcentral
UACGAAGGGGGCUAGCGUUGCUCGGAAUCACUGGGCGUAAAGGGUGCGUAGGCGGGUCUUUAAGGCAGAGGUGAAAUCCUGGAGCUCAACUCCAGAACUGCCUUUGAUACUGAGGAUCUUGAGUAUGGGAGAGGUGAGUGGAACUGCGAGUGUAGAGGUGAAAUUCGUAGAUAUUCGCAAGAACACCAGUGGCGAAGGCGGCUCACUGGCCCAUUACUGACGCUGAGGCACGAAAGCGUGGGGAGCAAACAGG